AAUAGGUAGUAAAAUUGAAAAAUUUAGUCAAAGAACGAUUAAACGGCCGCCUUAUCCUGAGGGUGCGAAGUGUAGCGUAAUUCUUGUCACUUAAUUAGUGGACAGUGAACGGCUUAACGAGUGCUCCAUUGUUUCAGGAGGGGGAUUUAUAAAUUUAUAGUAAUAGUAAAGAUACUAUUUAAAAUUGUAAGACGAAAAGACCCUAGGAGCUUAACUAUAACUCACCACGUAUAUAUUAAAUAGGAAAGGUGGGUUGGUAGUUUGAUUGGGGCGAUCACCUUCCAUUAUAAACAAAGGUAUGCAAAAUAAACAAUUAAAAAAUUAUUACUUAUACUGUAUAAAAAAUAGUUUUAACAGUUAUAAAAAUAGGCGUUAAUGACCCUAUAACCAUAAAAAAAACAGGUUAUAGUUUAAUAAGUAAAAGCUACCCUAGGGAUAACAGGGUAAUUUCAUUGAUGAGUUCUUAUUAUCUUUGAAGCUUACCACCUCGAUGUUGAAUUAAGUUAACCUAAAGGCGCAGAAGCUUUUAAAGGUGGGACUGUUCGUCCCCUAAGAACUUACAUGAUUUGAGU
This 572-nucleotide ribosomal RNA is filed under the name Pyrostephos vanhoeffeni. RNAcentral describes it as "partial 16S ribosomal RNA". It matches the Rfam family "Bacterial large subunit ribosomal RNA", at positions 1882 to 2610 of the family's 2925-position model. Lineage: Eukaryota; Metazoa; Cnidaria; Hydrozoa; Siphonophorae; Pyrostephidae. The record is from RNAcentral.